GAUGAACGCUAGCGGCAGGCCUAACACAUGCAAGUCGAGGGGUAACAGGGAAGCUUGCUUCCGCUGACGACCGGCGCACGGGUGCGUAACGCGUAUACAAUCUACCUUUUGCUGUGGGAUAGCCCAGAGAAAUUUGGAUUAAGACCACAUGGUAUUAAGACAUGGCAUCAUGAUUUAAUUAAAGGUUACGGCAAAAGAUGAGUAUGCGUCCUAUUAGCUAGAUGGUGUGGUAACGGCACACCAUGGCAACGAUAGGUAGGGGUCCUGAGAGGGAGAUCCCCCACACUGGUACUGAGACACGGACCAG
Molecule: ribosomal RNA, 307 nt
Filed under: uncultured bacterium
Lineage: Bacteria
Description: bacterial SSU rRNA
Rfam family: Bacterial small subunit ribosomal RNA
Source: RNAcentral